ACUCCUACGGGAGGCAGCAGUGGGGAAUAUUGCACAAUGGGCGCAAGCCUGAUGCAGCAACGCCGUGUGAGUGAAGUAAGGUUUUCGGAUACGUAAAACUCUGUCCGUAAGGGAAAGAAACAAAUGACGGUACCUUAGGAGGAACGCCCCGGCUAACUACGUGCCAGCAGCCGCGGUAAUACGGUAGGGGCAAGCGUUAUCCGGAAUCACGUGGGCGUAAAGGGUGCGUAGGCGGCUUAGCAAGCCAGGGGUGAAAGGCAUUGGCUCAACCAAUGUAAGCCUUUGGAACUGUUAAGCUUGAGUGCAGGAGAGGUAAGUGGAAUUCCUAGUGUAGAGGUGAAAUUCGUAGAUAUUAGGAGGAACACCAGUGGCGAAGGCGACUUACUGGACUGUAACUGACGCUGAUGCACGAAAGCGUGGGUAGCGAACAGGAUUAGAU
This 439-nucleotide ribosomal RNA is filed under the name uncultured bacterium. Its description in RNAcentral is "bacterial SSU rRNA". It matches the Rfam family "Bacterial small subunit ribosomal RNA", at positions 335 to 783 of the family's 1533-position model. The record is from RNAcentral.